AAUUUUGUUCGCGGCGGUGCCGCCCGUAAUUUUCAACUCAUCUGUCGUUCCUUUUGCUCUGAUUUAGCCAUGGGGGUGCUCAGAAUCAAAUUUCGAGUGAAUAGAAGAAUUUUUACUUUUUUUGGCGGUCAAAGGUGGCUCCGGCACAGCGGUCGGCUCCAUUUUUCAGCGGUUGGUUCUUCUUCUCUAGCGGGAAGUUAGCAGUUAGGGUUUGGGUUCGGUGUGAUGCGAAAUAUUUAUAUUUAUCUCGCGUAAAUCUAGAUCUUUCAUCGCGUUUGAUCUCAAUCAUUCGAUCGCGUUUAAAAAUGAAAUGAAUUUGAACUAUUCAUCGCGAUUUGAUCUUAACCAUUCGAUCACGUUUAAAGAGGAAAUGAAUCUGUAUCGUCCAUCGCGUUUAAUCGCAACCAUUUGAUCGCCUUGAGGAGGGAACGGAUCCGAACUGUCCACGCACGUGAGAACACUUCUGGACUGUCCGAUCGCGGGGCAUGAGGAUCGCCAGCGUAGCCUUCAGUAUGAUACCGAGUUAGCGUGUCUUGCCACACGGCG
RNAcentral lists this long non-coding RNA (546 nucleotides) under Carica papaya (papaya). RNAcentral describes it as "long non-coding RNA (CPAP_LNC012068)". The record is from RNAcentral. Lineage: Eukaryota; Viridiplantae; Streptophyta; Magnoliopsida; Brassicales; Caricaceae.